This 262-nucleotide ribosomal RNA is filed under the name uncultured bacterium. Its description in RNAcentral is "partial 16S ribosomal RNA". It matches the Rfam family "Bacterial small subunit ribosomal RNA", at positions 92 to 354 of the family's 1533-position model. The record is from RNAcentral.
UUAGUGGCGGACGGGUGAGUAACGCGUGGAAAACCUGCCGUAUACUGGGGGAUAACACUUAGAAAUAGGUGCUAAUACCGCAUAAGCGCACAGCUUCGCAUGAAGCGGUGUGAAAAACUCUGGUGGUAUACGAUGGUUCCGCGUCUGAUUAGCUAGUUGGUGGGGUAAUGGCCUACCAAGGCAACGACCAGUAGCCGGCCUGAGAGGGUGAACGGCCACAUUGGGACUGAGACACGGCCCAAACUCCUACGGAAGGCAGCAG